This is a non-coding RNA of Meleagris gallopavo (turkey), 176 nucleotides long. Lineage: Eukaryota; Metazoa; Chordata; Aves; Galliformes; Phasianidae. The record is from RefSeq and is a predicted model, not a curated record.
CCUCAGGAAGCGUCUCUGGUCUGCAGACACCAAGAAAGAAACACUUUGCCACCUCUUGACCAGGGCAAGAAAGUGACAUUUGCUGACCGUCCGACCUUCAUCAAACGGUUGAGCACAGACAGCAUCGAUGGAGGACACUUCAGACGGAUAAGGAGCUUACUGCUGAAGGAGAGCUC